This 611-nucleotide ribosomal RNA is filed under the name Pichia kudriavzevii. RNAcentral's name for it is "eukaryotic LSU rRNA". It matches the Rfam family "Eukaryotic large subunit ribosomal RNA", at positions 37 to 670 of the family's 3401-position model. Lineage: Eukaryota; Fungi; Ascomycota; Pichiomycetes; Pichiales; Pichiaceae. The record is from RNAcentral.
UGCAUAUCCCAAAAGCGGAGGAAAAGAAACCAACAGGGAUUGCCUCAGUAGCGGCGAGUGAGCGGCAAGAGCUCAGAUUUGAAAUCGUGCUUUGCGGCACGAGUUGUAGAUUGCAGGUUGGAGUCUGUGUGGAAGGCGGUGUCCAAGUCCCUUGGAACAGGGCGCCCAGGAGGGUGAGAGCCCCGUGGGAUGCCGGCGGAAGCAGUGAGGCCCUUCUGACGAGUCGAGUUGUUUGGGAAUGCAGCUCCAAGCGGGUGGUAAAUUCCAUCUAAGGCUAAAUACUGGCGAGAGACCGAUAGCGAACAAGUACUGUGAAGGAAAGAUGAAAAGCACUUUGAAAAGAGAGUGAAACAGCACGUGAAAUUGUUGAAAGGGAAGGGUAUUGCGCCCGACAUGGGGAUUGCGCACCGCUGCCUCUCGUGGGCGGCGCUCUGGGCUUUCCCUGGGCCAGCAUCGGUUCUUGCUGCAGGAGAAGGGGUUCUGGAACGUGGCUCUUCGGAGUGUUAUAGCCAGGGCCAGAUGCUGCGUGCGGGGACCGAGGACUGCGGCCGUGUAGGUCACGGAUGCUGCAGAACGAAACAACACCGCCCGUCUUGAAACAACGGACCACA